RNAcentral lists this long non-coding RNA (677 nucleotides) under Gossypium raimondii (Peruvian cotton). RNAcentral's name for it is "long non-coding RNA (GRAI_LNC010558)". The record is from RNAcentral. Lineage: Eukaryota; Viridiplantae; Streptophyta; Magnoliopsida; Malvales; Malvaceae.
GGGAAGGGAGAGUAGAGGGUAUCUUUGAGUAUGAGCAGAAGGGAAUAUAGACUUUUUUAGUAACAAAAAGGAAAGGUUUUAGAAGAGAGAAAACUAAAAAGUAAAACUAUUAGAUAAUUACAAGAUGUCUAUAAAUUAAUCUUUCCUCUCUAUUUAUAGAGGAGAUUAAAAAUUCUAUACAAUUGUCUUUUGAAUCCCGAAUAGUGUUUCUGAUAAGGAUUCGGCUUCAAAUGGAUGUGGCUGCUUCCACGUCUCAUCUGUCUUCUUGUAACUUUAACUGCAUGGUCAUGGUUGUUUCCACAUUGCAUGCUUGAAUUAAUGACCGCUUCCAUCACUUGCUUGUGUCAUGGUAGCUUCUGUCAUUGCUUGCAUCAUCAUUGGUUUGAUGAAAUCUUCCACGUUGCAAGACUUUUUAUCUGCACUUGGAUUUCAUCUUUUGUCUUCAUCAUGGAUUUGAUGAUGACUUCCACGUUGCCAAUCUUUGUUGCUAUCUUUAUUGACUUCAACCUUCUUGCAUAUUAUUGAGAUUCAUUUCUUCAAUCUCAUCCAAAUGUAAAGAAUCUGAUGAGAGUCUUGGUGGUGAGUUCCACGUCUCCCAUAUAUUUUUGAUUUUUUCUCUAAUGUGAGAUGGAAAUUCUUCUAUCUCCAUUUCAGCAGUAUUUUUUAACAGCUUCACA